Molecule: ribosomal RNA, 468 nt
Filed under: uncultured bacterium
Lineage: Bacteria
Description: partial 16S ribosomal RNA
Rfam family: Bacterial small subunit ribosomal RNA
Source: RNAcentral
GACGAACGCUGGCGGCGUGCUUAACACAUGCAAGUCGAACGGAAAGGCCCGGCUUUUGUGGGGUGCUCGAGUGGCGAACGGGUGAGUAACACGUGAGGAACCUGCCCUUGACUGGGGGAUAACGUCAGGAAACCGGGGCCAGUGGCGGAUAGGAGGGCCUGCGGCAGGGGGGGGGCUGGAAAGUGUCGGGGGAGGGGGAUGGACUCGCGGCUUAUCAGCCGGUGGGUGGGGGAGGGGCUUAGCAGGGAUUUGACGGGAAGCAGGCCGUGCAGGGUGACCGGCCACAUUGGGACUGAGGUACCGCCCAGACUCCUCCGGGAGGAAGCAGUGGGGGAUAUUGCACCGUGGGCGGCGGCCUGCUGCCGCAGCGCCGCGUGCGGGAUGACGACCUUCGGGUUGUACUCCGCUUUCGCCUGUGACGAAGCGUCAGUGACGGUAAUGGGUAAAGAAGCACCGGCUAACUCCGUG